This 441-nucleotide ribosomal RNA is filed under the name uncultured bacterium. RNAcentral describes it as "partial 16S ribosomal RNA". It matches the Rfam family "Bacterial small subunit ribosomal RNA", at positions 338 to 795 of the family's 1533-position model. The record is from RNAcentral.
CCUACGGUGUGCUGCAGUGGUGAAUAUUGCACAAUGUGGGAAACCCUGAUGCAGCGACGCCGCGUGAGUGUAGAAGUAUUUCGGUAUGUAAAGCUCUAUCAGCAGGGAAGAAGAAAGACGGUACCUGACUAAGAAACCCCGGCUAACUACGAACCAGCAGCCGCGGAAAUACGGAGGGGGCAAGCGUUAUCCGGAUUUAAUGGGUGAAAGGGGUGCGUAGACGGCUGGGCAGGACUGAAGUGUAAGCCCAGGGCUCAAGGCUGGGACUGCUUUGGAAACUGUGGAGCUAGAGUGCUGGAGAGGUAAGUGGAAUUCCUAGGGUAGCGGUGAAAUGCGUAGAUAUUAGGAGGACCACCAGUGGCGAAGGCGGCUUACGGGACAGUAACUGACGUUGAGGCUCGAAAGCGUGGGGAGCAAACAGGAUUAGAUACCCGAGUAGUC